AUGCUUGGACAUGGGUUGGAUGUACUCGACCCUGAAACAGAGGUGGAAGCAUCGGCGGAACUUCCGGCGGCGGACCAUGGUGCUUUUCAGGACCUCGACAUGGAAGACAUUGUGAAUGCGGGCGCGUGGGGGCAGCUCCAAAUGAUAAGCAACCGUAUCGAUUUUAGCGAGGACUUUGAAAGGCCCAUAAUUUUUGGGAGCCAAUUUCCCUUUGGCGCCUACUCCAAGGAACCGACCGAUGCUGAAGACGGAGCCAAACCCAUUCUCCAACAUCAAAAGAAAGGGCCCGAUGCUUAUCAUCAUAGUAAUGCUUGUACUGUUGUGUUGCCUGAAGGAGACGAUCACAGAUGUCGAGUAAGAAUUGAUCGCGGUUGA
Molecule: ribosomal RNA, 375 nt
Filed under: Triticum aestivum (bread wheat)
Lineage: Eukaryota; Viridiplantae; Streptophyta; Magnoliopsida; Poales; Poaceae
Description: partial small subunit ribosomal RNA
Source: RNAcentral